Molecule: ribosomal RNA, 497 nt
Filed under: uncultured bacterium
Lineage: Bacteria
Description: partial 16S ribosomal RNA
Rfam family: Bacterial small subunit ribosomal RNA
Source: RNAcentral
GAUGAACGCUGGCGGCGUGCCUAAUACAUGCAAGUCGAGCGAACGGACGAGAAGCUUGCUUCUCUGAUGUUAGCGGCGGACGGGUGAGUAACACGUGGAUAACCUACCUAUAAGACUGGGAUAACUUCGGGAAACCGGAGCUAAUACCGGAUAAUAUUUUGAACCGCAUGGUUCAAAAGUGAAAGACGGUCUUGCUGUCACUUAUAGAUGGAUCCGCGCUGCAUUAGCUAGUUGGUAAGGUAACGGCUUACCAAGGCAACGAUGCAUAGCCGACCUGAGAGGAGGACCGGCCACACUGGAACUGAGACACGGCCCAGACUCCUACGGGAGGCAGCAGUAGGGAAUCUUCCGCAAUGGGCGCAAGCCUGACGGAGCAACGCCGCGUGAGUGAUGAAGGUCUUCGGGUCGUAAACCUCUGUUAUUAGGGAAGAACAUAUGUGUAAGUAACUGUGCACAUCUUGACGGUACCUAAUCAGAAAGCCACGGCUAACUACGUG